Molecule: small RNA, 72 nt
Filed under: uncultured Cytobacillus sp.
Lineage: Bacteria; Bacillati; Bacillota; Bacilli; Caryophanales; Bacillaceae
Source: RNAcentral
UGCUACAACCGCGCAGAAAAGGUUAUUAAGAUUCUGCUUUGCAGGACACCUGGGAUGGCGAGUCUUAGUCUU